GACGAACGCUGGCGGCGUGCUUAACACAUGCAAGUCGAACGGAAAGGCCCUGCUUUUGUGGGGUGCUCGAGUGGCGAACGGGUGAGUAACACGUGAGUAACCUGCCCUUGACUUUGGGAUAACUUCAGGAAACUGGGGCUAAUACCGGAUAGGAGCUCCUGCUGCAUGGUGGGGGUUGGAAAGUUUCGGCGGUUGGGGAUGGACUCGCGGCUUAUCAGCUUGUUGGUGGGGUAGUGGCUGACCAAGGCUUUGACGGGUAGCCGGCCUGAGAGGGUGACCGGCCACAUUGGGACUGAGAUGCGGCCCAGCCUCCUACGGGAGGCAGCAGUGGGGAAUAUUGCACAAUGGGCGGAAGCCUGAUGAAGCACCGCCGCGUGCGGGAUGACGGCCUUCCGGUUGUAAACCGCUUUCGCCUGUGACGAAGCGUGAGUGACGGUAAUGGGUAAAGAAGCCCCGGCUAACUACGUG
This 468-nucleotide ribosomal RNA is filed under the name uncultured bacterium. RNAcentral's name for it is "partial 16S ribosomal RNA". It matches the Rfam family "Bacterial small subunit ribosomal RNA", at positions 28 to 507 of the family's 1533-position model. The record is from RNAcentral.